AAAAACGUUUUCGGACAAGCGUUUUCGCGUUGAAACGCUAAAAAUCCAAGAUGGCGGCUUAAAAUCAAAAUAUUAUAUUCUUGUUUCCUGGAAGCUUAGAUCUUUCAUUGGUAUAAUUUAUUCUUAAGUUAAAAACUUUAGCAACAAAUAAAACAAAAUAUAUAGCCUUUCAAGUGUAUAAUGAUUUAUGAACGAUUUAAAAUGUGUUUUGCUUUCGAAGGAGCGACAGACUUCGUAUCGGUGAUGCUGAACAUACAUAUAAAACUGUUUACUUUAUUAUAAUGAACAGAGGACAUUUAAGAAA
Paramuricea clavata is the source of this 304-nucleotide non-coding RNA. The record is from the annotation of a GenBank genome assembly. Lineage: Eukaryota; Metazoa; Cnidaria; Anthozoa; Malacalcyonacea; Plexauridae.